Octodon degus (degu) is the source of this 223-nucleotide long non-coding RNA. RefSeq lists it as uncharacterized. The transcript has 3 exons. NCBI's taxonomy places the organism in Eukaryota, Metazoa, Chordata, Mammalia, Rodentia, Octodontidae. The record is from RefSeq and is a predicted model, not a curated record.
GGCCCUUUAUUCCAGUCGUUUUAAGUGCAUAGCUCAAAGUACUGGUGAUUGAACCCGGGGUCUUCACAAAAGGAUAAAGGCAUCCUCAGCCGUUCCUCCCUUUGAGCCAGGGCCUAGCUAUGUAUUCCAGACUGGCCUCGGACCCGUAGUGAUCUUUCUGCCUUCGCCCUUUACAAUCUGAGAUUACAGAACCAGAGAUUGAACUGAGGCCCUUGCGCUUGCC